AAUCCAUAGGUUAAUGAGGCGAACCGGGGGAACUGAAACAUCUAAGUACCCCGAGGAAAAGAAAUCAACCGAGAUUCCCCCAGUAGCGGCGAGCGAACGGGGAGGAGCCCAGAGCCUGAAUCAGCAUGUGUGUUAGUGGAAGCGUCUGGAAAGGCGCGCGAUACAGGGUGACAGCCCCGUACACAAAAGCGCAUGUGCUGUGAGCUCGAUGAGUAGGGCGGGACACGUGGUAUCCUGUCUGAAUAUGGGGGGACCAUCCUCCAAGGCUAAAUACUCCUGACUGACCGAUAGUGAACCAGUACCGUGAGGGAAAGGCGAAAAGAACCCCGGCGAGGGGAGUGAAAAAGAACCUGAAACCGUGUACGUACAAGCAGUGGGAGCCCCACCACCAAAGCAUUCUCUGGUGUUGAAGGCCCUGCAAAGCAGCAUCGCGGUGGCGGAGCGUCGUUUGCGACGCCCAACACACAAAACAAGCGGUGAGUGCUUUGGGGUGG
This 494-nucleotide ribosomal RNA is filed under the name Salmonella enterica subsp. enterica serovar Infantis. RNAcentral describes it as "partial 23S ribosomal RNA". It matches the Rfam family "Bacterial large subunit ribosomal RNA", at positions 161 to 596 of the family's 2925-position model. RNAcentral also lists the same sequence under 3 other names. Lineage: Bacteria; Pseudomonadati; Pseudomonadota; Gammaproteobacteria; Enterobacterales; Enterobacteriaceae. The record is from RNAcentral.